This is a long non-coding RNA of Cyprinus carpio (common carp), 1177 nucleotides long. Lineage: Eukaryota; Metazoa; Chordata; Actinopteri; Cypriniformes; Cyprinidae. The record is from Ensembl.
UGCCUGUAGCCCAAAAUAGCCCGUGCGAAUUUACACUCAUUUUGCCAGCACGGUCACAUAUGCGUCACUAAACCGUACCAAAAAAAAAAAUAAAGUACGAAAUUGUUGCAGUUUUAAUGACAUACAGAACACAAAGCCUCAGAAAAUCUGAUCUGCAGAACAAACUGAGACACUAAAGCUUCUUUCAGUCUGACAGAAGAGAAACUCAAAGCUCUGCUGCAAACUCAUGAACAGUCCAGAAAGUGCUGCUGUAAAUAAUGAAGAAACUAAAACUUGACUGCAAAAAUUUUAUUGUUUACUGUAAUGUGAUGAUCAGAGUUAAAAUACUCCAGUCCACAGCACAAAAUCAACUACAACAACACCAGCAACUUCUACACCAGCUCGAGCUGAUUCAACAACAGCAGAGACUCCAGUCCACAUCACAAAAUCAACUACAACAACACCAGCAACUUCUGGUUCAUUAUUCAGAAGUAACAUGUCUUUACCUGCAGUUUGUUAAUUCUGAAACAGUCAAUCUGCAAUGCUUUGUCAAGAACUGUUCAGUGUUUUAUAUUUUUGAUUUGAUUCCCAGUUUCACAGAUUGAGUCUGUUUAUUCUGUUGAUCGUGUCUUUCAUCUUUCCUGCAGUGAUUGUGAUUAUUGUAGAGUUUGCAGUGUUUGCUGCUCCUACUGUGAUUCUUCUUCAGAUCAUCUGUGACAGAAGAGCUGGUGAGUUUUUUUUUUUAAGCCUCACACAAUCUGCAACAAUAUUUAAAACAGCAAAAACUUAUAGAGGAUUGUCUAUUAUUUUAUUUAUUUAUGUUUUCAUCUCAGAAAACAAAGAAAAACUCUGACCACCUUGAAGAAAUGAUGAUGCCAUCCAUUUUUAUUUUUAUUUUUUUAACAAAUAACUGGCGAGCUGUAUUUUCAUUUCUGUGGAGUUAAUGGAUAUUUGCAUGCAGUGUUUACAGUCAUUUUCUUGUGUUUGGUAUAUAACCUGCUUUAAAUACAGUAUUAAAUACAGUAAUGGGCAGAUUAUUUGUAUAAUAAUCUCCAUUAUGUGUGAUGGAGCUGCUUUGGUGAAUCUUUUAUCUCAUCUGUUUGUUUUUGUUUUUUAUCAUUUAUUUUUAUUAAUUUGUUUAUAUUUUGGGUGAUAGCUAAUCAUUUCCUUAAUAAAACCUCUGCAACUGCGUUUAACA